RNAcentral lists this ribosomal RNA (435 nucleotides) under uncultured bacterium. RNAcentral describes it as "bacterial SSU rRNA". It matches the Rfam family "Bacterial small subunit ribosomal RNA", at positions 954 to 1392 of the family's 1533-position model. The record is from RNAcentral.
UGGGAACGCGAAGAACCUUACCUGGACUUGACAUCCCCUGAAUAGAUUAGAGAUAAUUGAAGCCCUUCGGGGCAGGGAGACAGGUGGUGCAUGGUUGUCGUCAGCUCGUGUCGUGAGAUGUUAGGUUAAGUCCUGCAACGAGCGCAACCCUUGUCAUUAGUUGCUACCGGUAAGAUGAGCACUCUAAUGAGACUGCCGCGGUUAACGCGGAGGAAGGUGGGGAUGACGUCAAAUCAUCAUGCCCCUUAUGUCCAGGGCUACACACGUGCUACAAUGGGCAGUACAAUGAGACGCAAGCCCGCAAGGGGGAGCCAAACCAUAAAACUGUUCCCAGUUCGGAUUGCAGGCUGAAACCCGCCUGCAUGAAGUUGGAGUUGCUAGUAAUCGCAAAUCAGCAUGUUGCGGUGAAUACGUUCCCGGGUCUUGUACACACCG